UACAGAGGGGGCAAGCGUUGUUCGGAUUCAUUGGGCGUAAAGGGUGCGUAGGCGGCGCGGUCAGUCGGGUGUGAAAUCUCGGGGCUUAACUCCGAAACUGCAUUCGAUACUGCCGUGCUUGAGGACUGGAGAGGAGACUGGAAUUUACGGUGUAGCGGUGAAAUGCGUAGAUAUCGUAAGGAAGACCAGUGGCGAAGGCGAGUCUCUGGACAGUUCCUGACGCUGAGGCACGAAGGCCAGGGGAGCAAACGGG
This 253-nucleotide ribosomal RNA is filed under the name uncultured bacterium. Its description in RNAcentral is "partial 16S ribosomal RNA". It matches the Rfam family "Bacterial small subunit ribosomal RNA", at positions 524 to 776 of the family's 1533-position model. The record is from RNAcentral.